This 107-nucleotide small nuclear RNA is filed under the name Castor canadensis (American beaver). The record is from RNAcentral. Lineage: Eukaryota; Metazoa; Chordata; Mammalia; Rodentia; Castoridae.
GAACUCCCUUCUGCCAUACAUAUGUAAAAACUGGAGCACUACAGAGAUGAUUAGUCUGGCCUGUGUGCAAGGAUGACAUGUAAACUCCCAAAGUGUUCUAUAUUUUU